RNAcentral lists this long non-coding RNA (454 nucleotides) under Equus caballus (horse). RNAcentral's name for it is "lncRNA (ENSECAG00000059662.1)". Lineage: Eukaryota; Metazoa; Chordata; Mammalia; Perissodactyla; Equidae. The record is from RNAcentral.
GUUCUCAGAGUCUAGAGGAGAAGAAAGAACCUUGGUGAGAGCGGGCGAAACUACAGGCAAGCCGAUGAUUGAGAGUGGAAGCAGCCCUCCAGGUUUGCAGGGGACUUUGACCAAUGCAGCCUGUUCUUCCUCAGGUGUCCUUGGUGAAGAAAGAAAGAAUUUUACGGAUAUCGUAGGCUGACUGCUGCCCUUUCUUCGCUCUACUUGUGAUUUUUUGCAGACAACAUCACGUUUUUCUGUUGAAGAGAGUUGGAUUUCUCCUUGUCCAACCUACAGUGCUUUUCACUAUUUUUCUGACUUUAUUCAACUGGCAAGAAUCUGCAGCACAAUGUUAAAGAGAAGUUAUGAAAAAGGAUAUUUUCCAGUUUUUCUUGAUCUUAGAGAGACUAUAUUAAAUUAUUUAGUGUUUUUCCAUUAAUUUUAAUGUGAGUUUUAUCAGAUUGUUUUAUAUCAG